RNAcentral lists this transfer RNA (69 nucleotides) under Uleiota sp. BMNH 833935. RNAcentral's name for it is "tRNA-Met". It matches the Rfam family "tRNA". From Rfam's summary of the family: Transfer RNA (tRNA) molecules are approximately 80 nucleotides in length. Their secondary structure includes four short double-helical elements and three loops (D, anti-codon, and T loops). Lineage: Eukaryota; Metazoa; Arthropoda; Insecta; Coleoptera; Silvanidae. The record is from RNAcentral.
AAAAAGAUAAGUUAAAUAAACUAUUGGGUUCAUACCCCACUUAUAAAGGUCCUACCCCUUUUCUUUUUA